RNAcentral lists this ribosomal RNA (301 nucleotides) under uncultured bacterium. RNAcentral describes it as "partial 16S ribosomal RNA". It matches the Rfam family "Bacterial small subunit ribosomal RNA", at positions 509 to 809 of the family's 1533-position model. The record is from RNAcentral.
CAGCCGCCGCGGUAAUACGUAGGUGGCAAGCGUUGUCCGGAAUUAUUGGGCGUAAAGCGCGCGCAGGCGGAUCAGUUAGUCUGUCUUAAAAGUUCGGGGCUUAACCCCGUGAGGGGAUGGAAACUGCUGAUCUAGAGUAUCGGAGAGGAAAGUGGAAUUCCUAGUGUAGCGGUGAAAUGCGUAGAUAUUAGGAAGAACACCAGUGGCGAAGGCGACUUUCUGGACGAAAACUGACGCUGAGGCGCGAAAGCCAGGGGAGCGAACGGGAUUAGAUACCCGCGUAGUCCCUGUCUCUUAUACA